RNAcentral lists this small RNA (200 nucleotides) under Listeria monocytogenes J0161. RNAcentral describes it as "Listeria sRNA rliF". It matches the Rfam family "Listeria sRNA rliF". Lineage: Bacteria; Bacillati; Bacillota; Bacilli; Caryophanales; Listeriaceae. The record is from Rfam by way of RNAcentral.
GGAUGAUAAUUUCAUCUUCUCUUUUUUGAUUUUAUAUUUUGGUACACCUAAUUAAUGUGAAAAUGGGUAUAUCCAAAAUGUACACAAAACCGUUAUUGUGAAUACAGGAUUUUCAAUGUAUAUUAAAUAAUUUUGAAAAGAGGGGGCUUUUUAGUCACGAAAGCAGCAUAUGCUCAAGUAAGUUCUUCUAAUCAAAAUUU